Molecule: ribosomal RNA, 253 nt
Filed under: uncultured bacterium
Lineage: Bacteria
Description: partial 16S ribosomal RNA
Rfam family: Bacterial small subunit ribosomal RNA
Source: RNAcentral
UACGUAGGGGGCGAGCGUUGUCCGGAAUUAUUGGGCGUAAAGAGCGUGUAGGCGGUUCGGUAAGUCUGCCGUGAAAUCCUGGGGCUCAACCCCGGGCGUGCGGUGGAUACUGCCGGGCUAGAGGGUGGUAGAGGCGAGUGGAAUUCCCGGUGUAGCGGUGAAAUGCGCAGAUAUCGGGAGGAACACCAAUUGCGAAGGCAGCUCGCUGGGACGUUACUGACGCUGAGACGCGAAAGCGUGGGGAGCAAACAGG